AUAGAGCUGCUCGGUUCGACAGGUUCAUGAAUCCCCGGACCACAAUUGAUAUCUCAUGGGGUUGUCCCUGCUUUGGCCGUGGUCAAAGUAUUACGACUCCAACCUGGUUAACAGGUCGCGAGAGGAUCAUAUAUACACCAUCGGCCAGAGUGGCUCUCUU
Molecule: non-coding RNA, 160 nt
Filed under: Candidatus Paracaedibacteraceae bacterium
Lineage: Bacteria; Pseudomonadati; Pseudomonadota; Alphaproteobacteria; Holosporales; Candidatus Paracaedibacteraceae
Description: 6S RNA
Rfam family: 6S / SsrS RNA
About the family: E. coli 6S RNA was the first non coding RNA to be sequenced, but its function was unknown until recently. It consists of 184 nucleotides that fold into an extended hairpin structure with a large single-stranded internal bulge.
Source: RNAcentral